GUCGAACGAAGUAGUAAUACUUAGUGGCAGACGGGUGAGUAACAUGUAGGUAUCUUCCCUUUGGUGAGGAAUAACACGAGGAAACUUGUGCUAAUACCUCAUAAGUCUUUACGGAGAAAGCUUUAUGCGCCGAAGGAUGAGCCUGCAUUUGAUUAGUUUGUUGGUGGGGUAAUGGCCUACCAAGACUUUGAUCAAUAGCUGAUCUGAGAGGAUGAUCAGCCACAUUGGGACUGAGACACGGCCCAAACUCCUACGGGAGGCAGCAGUAGGGAAUAUUGCACAAUGGAGGAAACUCUGAUGCAGCGAUGCCGCGUGAGUGAAGAAGGCCUUUGGGUUGUAAAGCUCUUUCGUCGGGGAAGAAAAUGACUGUACCCGAAUAAGAAGGUCCGGCUAACUUCGUGCCAGCAGCCGCGGUAAUACGAAGGGACCUAGCGUAGUUCGGAAUUACUGGGCUUAAAGAGUUCGUAGGUGGUUAAAAAAGUUGGUGGUGAAAUCCCAGAGCUUAACUCUGGAACUGCCAUCAAAACUUUUUAGCUAGAGUAUGAUAGAGGAAAGCAGAAUUUCUAGUGUAGAGGUGAAA
Molecule: ribosomal RNA, 580 nt
Filed under: uncultured marine bacterium
Lineage: Bacteria
Description: bacterial SSU rRNA
Rfam family: Bacterial small subunit ribosomal RNA
Source: RNAcentral